UCAAAAAGUAGUAUAUUAAUUACAGCUCGUUUACACCGAACUAAAGGUUUCAAACCCUUUUUGAA
Molecule: transfer RNA, 65 nt
Filed under: Lanceolaria gladiola
Lineage: Eukaryota; Metazoa; Mollusca; Bivalvia; Unionida; Unionidae
Description: tRNA-Val
Source: RNAcentral